Molecule: ribosomal RNA, 430 nt
Filed under: uncultured bacterium
Lineage: Bacteria
Description: bacterial SSU rRNA
Rfam family: Bacterial small subunit ribosomal RNA
Source: RNAcentral
CGAACGCUGGCGGCAGGCUUAAUACAUGCAAGUCGAGCGGGCACUUCGGUGUCAGCGGCGCACGGGUGCGUAACGCGUGGGAACAUGCCCUUAGGUACGGAACAACACAGGGAAACUUGUGCUAAUACCGUAUAAUAUCUCUGGAUCAAAGAUUUAUCGCCUAAGGAUUGGCCCGCGUUAGAUUAGGUAGUUGGUGGGGUAAUGGCCUACCAAGCCGACGAUCUAUAGCUGGUCUGAGAGGAUGAUCAGCCACACUGGAACUGAGACACGGUCCAGACUCCUACGGGAGGCAGCAGUAAGGAAUAUUGGACAAUGGGCGAAAGCCUGAUCCAGCCAUGCCGCGUGAGUGAUGAAGGCCUUAGGGUUGUAAAGCUCUUUUAGAUGGGAAGAUAAUGACUGUACCAUCAGAAUAAGCCCCGGCUAAAUUCGU